UGGUAACACACUUCUGACAUACCCCAGAAGUUGUAUAUAGAUAUCCUGUGUUUUGCCCGUGAGGAUAGCAUGAACUAGUGGGAAGCUCUAUAAAACAAAAAUAGAUAUGGAAUGAAAAUAUCUGAUAAGCAUCAUUAUCCAAAAAUUUUGGUACAGUUUUGAAUGUCCCGUCACAACCAGCUACACGGACCUAAAAAUGAUAGACAGAAUUGUACACAAACAUUGCCUAGUAAAUUGUGGAACUCUAAAAUAUUUUGAGGUGUUGCUGGGAACAUUCCUUGUCGCAAUCGCCUCAUUCUUUCUGCACACUGAAUGAAGGUAUAAUUAUUUGCAGCUUCUGGAAAACUAUUGAGUAAAAAAAUAGGAUAAGAACAUUAUAUCAGAAAGACAAAGAUAAAUAUGAAUACCAACUUCACAAUCGAUUCCAUGUAUAUACCACGAGGCACAUAUGAAUUAACAGUUUUUUUCAAAGCCAUUUCU
Molecule: long non-coding RNA, 480 nt
Organism: Myzus persicae (green peach aphid)
Lineage: Eukaryota; Metazoa; Arthropoda; Insecta; Hemiptera; Aphididae
Exons: 4
Source: RefSeq, a predicted model, not a curated record